UACGGAGGGUGCGAGCGUUGUCCGGAAUCACUGGGCGUAAAGGGCGCGUAGGCGGCGCGACAAGUCAACGGUGAAAGCUCGGGGCUCAACCCCGAGUCGGCCGUCGAUACUGUUGGGCUGGAGCACUGUAGAGGCAGGUGGAAUUCCGGGUGUAGCGGUGGAAUGCGUAGAGAUCCGGAAGAACACCGGCGGCGAAGGCGGCCUGCUGGGCAGUAGCUGACGCUGAGGCGCGACAGCGUGGGGAGCAAACAGG
RNAcentral lists this ribosomal RNA (253 nucleotides) under uncultured bacterium. RNAcentral describes it as "partial 16S ribosomal RNA". It matches the Rfam family "Bacterial small subunit ribosomal RNA", at positions 524 to 776 of the family's 1533-position model. The record is from RNAcentral.